Non-coding RNA from Heterocephalus glaber (naked mole-rat), 530 nucleotides. The record is from RefSeq and is a predicted model, not a curated record. Lineage: Eukaryota; Metazoa; Chordata; Mammalia; Rodentia; Bathyergidae.
ACCUAGCAAGAGCAAUUUGAAAUGGAAAAUUCAAGCUCAGAAAUCCAGUUGAAAUUUGACCUUCUCUACAUUGCCAUGGAUUUUGGUGGCCUGGGGGAGCUGGUGAAAUGGGCACAAUCAUCUAUUAAGGCUUUGUCUGGUCCUAGUGUCAUUCACUUCUCAUCUAAAAUCAAGGUCAUUGAUGUUCAUUUCCAAAGGAGAUAACAGAGAGGUUACAGAGAAUGAUUGCUCCUGUUUGGCUUUAAAAGAUAGCAGUCUUCAAUUAACACUGGAUUUAAGGGAAAUUUUGUGAAGCCUAGCCUGCAGGAGGCCAUGACUUGGGUGAAGAAUCCAUGGAAUAAAAUCACUGACAGCUGUGUUGCCAAUGCACUACAAGCAGAUUACGUGGACAAGAAGGGCUCAUUUAAGGAGAGCUCUAUUGCUGUACAUGAGAACUGGGAGACAAUAGUUCUAUAGGAAAUGGAGUUGCAAAAAAUUUAGGCCAUAAUUCAAGGUAUGUAGAGUUAUGAUGAUGUUCCAGAGGGAGAUGA